RNAcentral lists this ribosomal RNA (433 nucleotides) under uncultured bacterium. RNAcentral describes it as "partial 16S ribosomal RNA". It matches the Rfam family "Bacterial small subunit ribosomal RNA", at positions 29 to 507 of the family's 1533-position model. The record is from RNAcentral.
AACGAACGCUGGCGGCAGGCCUAACACAUGCAAGUCGAGCGGACCUUUCGGGGUCAGCGGCGGACGGGUGAGUAACGCGUGGGAAUAUGCCCUUCUCUACGGAAUAGUCCUGGGAAACUGGGGGUAAUACCGUAUACGCCCUUUGGGGGAAAGAUUUAUCGGGGAAGGAUUAGCCCGCGUUGGAUUAGGUAGUUGGUGGGGUAAUGGCCUACCAAGCCGACGAUCCAUAGCUGGUUUGAGAGGAUGAUCAGCCACACUGGGACUGAGACACGGCCCAGACUCCUACGGGAGGCAGCGGUGGGGAAUCUUAGACAAUGGGGGCAACCCUGAUCUAGCCAUGCCGCGUGAGUGAUGAAGGCCUUAGGGUUGUAAAGCGCUUUCAGCUGGGAAGAUAAUGACGGUACCAGCAGAAGAAGCCCCGGCUAACUCCGUG